CAAACUUGGUCAUUUAGAGGAAGUAAAAGUCGUAACAAGGUUUCCGUAGGUGAACCUGCGGAAGGAUCAUUACCAAAAACAAAAUAAACUAAGCGUUCCCGCUCACGAGAGGCUUCAAAACUUUAAACUGAGCACGCGUUAUGUUUGCGUGAAGAAACAUACGUCCCCGUUAUCCGUCCUGGAGUCGGUGGUAUUUCUGCACGGGUUGCCCGUGCANGUAGCCCUCAGGCCGGUGUGUGGUGCCGUAAUAUUCCCACUACCCUAUGUUUACCUACCUUUGUUGCUUUGGCGGGCCGCGGNCCUCCGCUGCGGGCUCACGNUCNCACNGUGCCCGCCAGAGGACCCAACUCUUGAUUUUAGUGAUGUCUGAGUACUAUUAAAUAGUUAAAACUUUCAACAACGGAUCUCUUGGUUCUGGCAUCGAUGAAGAACGCAGCGAAAUGCGAUAAGUAAUGUGAAUUGCAGAAUUCAGUGAAUCAUCGAAUCUUUGAACGCACAUUGCNCCCGCUGGUAUUCCGGCGGGCAUGCCUGUUCGAGCGUCAUUAUGACCAACUCACGCUCCGCGUGGUCUUGGGGUCCGCUGUCACGGCGGUCCCUAAACGCAGUGGCGGUGCCGUGCGGCUCUCAGCGUAGUAAUUUAUCUCGCUACAGGGUCCGGACGGUGCUGGCCAGCAACCCCAACUUCUUUAGGUUGANCUCGGAUCAGGUANGGAUACCCGCUGNACUUAAGCAUAUCNAUAAGCGGAGGAAAAGAAACCAACAGGGANUACCUCAGUAACGGCGAGUGAAGCGGUAACAGCUCAAAUUUGAAAUCUGGCUCUUUCAGGGUCCGAGUUGUAAUUUGUAGAAGAUGCUUCGAGUGUGGUCCCGGUCUAAGUUCCUUGGAACAGGACGUCAUAGAGGGUGAGAAUCCCGUAUGCGACUGGGUGCCUUCGCUCAUGUGAAGCUCUUUCGACGAGUCGAGUUGUUUGGGAAUGCAGCUCAAAAUGGGUGGUAAAUUUCAUCUAAAGCUAAAUAUUGGCCAGAGACCGAUAGCGCACAAGUAGAGUGAUCGAAAGAUGAAAAGCACUUUGGAAAGAGAGUUAAACAGUACGUGAAAUUGUUGAAAGGGAAGCGCUUGCAACCAGACUUGCCCGCCGUCGAUCAUCCGGGGUUCUCCCCGGUGCACUCGGCGGCGUUCAGGCCAGCAUCGGUUUCGGUGGUGGGAUAAAGGCCUUGGGAAUGUAGCUUCUUUCGGGGAGUGUUAUAGCCCUCGGUGCAAUGCCGCCUACCGGGACCGAGGACCGCGCUUCGGCUAGGAUGCUGGCGUAAUGGUUGUAAGCGUCCCGUCUUGAAACACGGACC
This 1344-nucleotide ribosomal RNA is filed under the name uncultured fungus. RNAcentral describes it as "eukaryotic LSU rRNA". The stretch from base 693 to 1344 matches the Rfam family "Eukaryotic large subunit ribosomal RNA", at positions 1 to 667 of the family's 3401-position model. Lineage: Eukaryota; Fungi. The record is from RNAcentral.